RNAcentral lists this ribosomal RNA (454 nucleotides) under uncultured bacterium. Its description in RNAcentral is "partial 16S ribosomal RNA". It matches the Rfam family "Bacterial small subunit ribosomal RNA", at positions 28 to 507 of the family's 1533-position model. The record is from RNAcentral.
GAUGAACGCUGACAGAAUGCUUAACACAUGCAAGUCAACUUGAACUUCGGUUUGGGUGGCGGACGGGUGAGUCACGCGUAAAGAACUUGCCUCACAGUUAGGGACAACAUUUGGAAACGAAUGCUAAUACCUGAUAUUAUGAUUUUAGGGCAUCCUAGAAUUAUGAAAGCUAUAUGCGCUGUGAGAGAGCUUUGCGUCCCAUUAGCUAGUUGGAGAGGUAACGGCUCACCAAGGCGAUGAUGGGUAGCCGGCCUGAGAGGGUGAACGGCCACAAGGGGACGAAGACCCGCCCCUAACCCGUAGGGGGGCAAAAGGUGGGGAUUAUGGGAAAAUGUACAAAGGGUUUAACCAACUAUUUUGUUGGGAAGGAAAAAUUUUUGGGAAAUAAAAAGGUUUUUAAGUGGAAAAAAAAAAAAGGAGGGACCAAAAAAAAGAAGGGAGGCCAAAAUCCGUC